This 480-nucleotide long non-coding RNA is filed under the name Panax ginseng (ginseng). RNAcentral's name for it is "long non-coding RNA (PGIN_LNC014878)". The record is from RNAcentral. Lineage: Eukaryota; Viridiplantae; Streptophyta; Magnoliopsida; Apiales; Araliaceae.
AAGCUGUGGGCCCGAAAAGUCAGUUGCAUACAGGACAAACCGGACUUUGGGGAUAUAAAGCAAGGAUGACACACGGUGAAAGGUAACUCAUAAAUUAUUGCUCUCAAGUCACAAGAUAUUUAUUCCUCCAUUGUUAACCUUGUGAUCGCCUGUACUGACUCUCACGCCGGAGCUAUCCCCCGACGGUCCUAGCCGUCAAGCUUUUUGGUGUUGACUGUGUUUACUGUGCAGGAUCAGGACGUCUUACGUGAUUGGGACGUGGAGAAAGAUUCUGGCGUUAACAUUGGCGCUAGAAGGAGGGGGUGUGUUCUAGUGUUCUUGAAGUUUUCAAUCACAAAUUGUAGCUGCUCUACGUCGGAAUCCAUGGUGAAGAAGAGUAGAACAGUUACCUCUAAAGGAUACCCGAUGGCUAUGACUUCGUCUACACAAUGAGUAUCUGUCAAGGAUUGAUUGGGUCCUUCAAAGAAUGCUCAUGCUGGU